CGUGCUUAACACAUGCAAGUCGAACGAGAAAGUUUCCUUCGGGAAAUGAGUAGAGUGGCGCACGGGUGAGUAACACGUAGAUGAUCUACCCUUUGCUAGGGAACAACCCCGGGAAACCGAGGCUAAUUCCGUAUAAGUCUACCGAACUGCGGUUCAGUAGAGAAAGGUGACCUCUUCAUGAAAGUUAUCGGCGAAGGAUGAGUCUGCGUAUCAUUAGCUUGUUGGUAGGGUAAAAGCCUACCAAGGCUACGAUGAUUAGCUGGUCUGAGAGGAUGAUCAGCCACACUGGAACUGAGACACGGUCCAGACUCCUACGGGAGGCAGCAGUGGGGAAUAUUGCGCAAUGGGCGAAAGCCUGACGCAGCAACGCCGCGUGAGUGAUGAAGGUUUUCGGACUGUAAAACUCUGUCAGAGGAGACGAAUACCCGUCUGGAAUAAUACCCAGGCGGUUUGACGGUAUCUUCAGAGGAAGCACCGGCUAACUCCGUGCCAGCAGCCGCGGUAAUACGGAGGGUGCAAGCGUUGUUCGGAAUUACUGGGCGUAAAGCGUGUGUAGGCGGAUUCGGUAGUCGGGUGUGAAAGCCCUGGGCUCAACCCAGGAAGUGCGCCCGAAACCACGGAUCUUGAGUUCCGGAGGGGAUCGGGGAAUUCCCAGUGUAGAGGUGAAAUUCGUAGAUAUUGGGAGGAACACCGGCGGCGAAGGCGCCGAUCUGGACGGACACUGACGCUGAGACACGAAAGCGUGGGUAGCAAACAGGAUUAGAUACCCUGGUAGUCCACGCCGUAAACGAUGUGCACUAGGUGUCGGGGGUAUUGACCCCCUCGGUGCCGACGCUAACGCAUUAAGUGCACCGCCUGGGAAGUACGGCCGCAAGGCUGAAACUCAAAGGAAUUGACGGGGGCCCGCACAAGCGGUGGAGUAUGUGGUUCAAUUCGACGCAACGCGAACAACCUUACCCAGGCUUGACUUCUGGAGAAUCCCCUAGAAAUAGGGGAGUGCCCUUUCGGGGAAUUCCAAGACAGGUGCUGCAUGGCUGUCGUCAGCUCGUGUCGUGAGAUGUUGGGUUAAGUCCC
This 1074-nucleotide ribosomal RNA is filed under the name uncultured bacterium. RNAcentral describes it as "bacterial SSU rRNA". It matches the Rfam family "Bacterial small subunit ribosomal RNA", at positions 43 to 1088 of the family's 1533-position model. The record is from RNAcentral.